Molecule: long non-coding RNA, 1414 nt
Filed under: Vulpes vulpes (red fox)
Lineage: Eukaryota; Metazoa; Chordata; Mammalia; Carnivora; Canidae
Description: lncRNA (ENSVVUG00000003009.1)
Source: RNAcentral
CUUGACACAGGGUCAUUUUGACAUGACCUAAAUAUCAAGCCAGUAAGUUGUCAGUGUGUAUUGUGAUGCCUUAGCAUGCUGCAGGGAGAUGGGGAGGGGGUGACGGGACAUGUGCAGUAGCAUCAAGGAUGGAGGAGGCUCAGGACUAAGACACAGAAUGAGGAGAAGGUCAGAAAUAGUAAAGGGUCAGGGAUACCAUGGUUGCACUCAGUACUGUACACAACAGAACCACUGUUUUGUGUUGGAGGCAGGAAGCCUGCAGACACAGGAACGUGCAGAGGACAUUCUCUCAGAGCCAUGUCUUUGUGUUUUAUGGAGUGCUUUACAAAACACUCUCUGCCACAUUCCUCAGGCGCCAGUGGUCCCUCACAAGCUGAAUCCAACUGGAAUAUUUCCACAGGUGUAUCUAGGUCUCUAGGUAGGAUGUAAAUUGGGAGGCCCAACCAGCUAGAGGUGUAUGAGCUUGCAAAUGGCUGUUGCGAAGGCUCAGCCACCAUAUCCCAUCGGGCUGAGAAUUAAAAUAGCCUCCUCCCCCUACAUCACGUCCUGUAUGUGAUAUAUGAGCCCCAUGGCCUAAGUGGGAUAAUUAUUCUUCAUUAUAUAUGUGUGUGUGUGUGUGUGUGUAUGUGUAUGUAUGCAGAAUGUAUGUAUGUAUUAUAAACAAAGACAUGUUCAUUUUGGAAAUUUUAGAAAUUUCCUAGAAGGAACAGAAUAAUAAUCAAAAUUUGUCUUACUAUUAAUAUUGCAUAUUUGUCCUUGUCUUCUUCUAGGCAUAUAUUUAUCUCCACAUUUGUUGCCUUAGCAAUAUAUCACGACCAUUUUCCCAUGUCAUUAAAUCAUCUUCUACGGAAUCAUUGUUUAAGAUCUGUAAAGUAUGUCAUUACAUAGAUGUAUCAUAAUUUAUUAAUCUGUGCCUAUUGUUAGACAUUUGAACUAUUUUUGAAACAUAUUAUUAUAAGCAACAUUGCAAUUAACAUCCUUUUAGAAAUAUAGUGAGCACUAUCGUCAUUUCCUUGGGUAAAAGUUUUAGGUCCUGGUUAAAGGAGAAUUUUAAUGUUUUUGCUGAUGUUCUACAACACUGAGCAUUAUCAUUUUUAUGAUUAAUAUCUUUUUUAGGUUCCAAGACAGAGAUUGUAAUUGAUUUACUUUAAGCUUUUUUUCUUUCCAUACAAGUCAGAUUGACCUUUUUUUUUUCAUGCAUGCAUUGGCUAUUUGGAUUUCUUAUUGUGUGGAUUGCCUCCUCUUGCCCUUGGCCCAUUCUGUGUUACGAUGUUAAUGUUGGUGUAAUUACCUGUUGAGGGCUCAGGGUGUCCUACUUUAACAAAAAAAAAUGUCAUUUGCUGGCUAUAUAACUUCAUUCUUUUUUUUUUUUAAGAUUUUAUUUAUUUAUUCAUGAGAGACAGCGAGAGAGACA